Molecule: long non-coding RNA, 140 nt
Organism: Leptinotarsa decemlineata (Colorado potato beetle)
Lineage: Eukaryota; Metazoa; Arthropoda; Insecta; Coleoptera; Chrysomelidae
Source: RefSeq, a predicted model, not a curated record
GUAACUUCCAAUAUAUCUCAAUACGUUUCGAAAGAAAUGUCGCAAUAUCGUGUUUGAGGUUACAGUCGAUUUGCAAGUAUGAAUCACAGUGAAAAAGUGGAAAUAAGCAAAGCUGCAGAACUUCUGAAGGUAUUACAAGG